UAUUCAGGUGAUGGUUCUGAAGGAGGAAAUAUCGAAGUUGGAGAAACUGCAGUCGGAUCUGAAGCAGGAGGCGGUGAAAAAGUCGGAAAGUCUGAAGAACGAGAUCGAGGAGACCAAGAAAGAGAUUAUCUUCCUGAAGAGGAGCGGCUGCAAAACCGAAGAAACCAAGCAGCAGAUUGAUCGGCUGCAGGUGGAGGUUAAGGCUAAAGAGCGAGAACUGGAGAAGCUGAAGAAGAACACGGAGGCGGAGCUAGACCAGUUAGCGGAGAAGCUAGCGCAGAUCGCUAAGAAACUGGAGUCCAGUGGAGUCGAACUGAAGAAGAAAGAUGCUCAAAAUGCAGAACUGAUUCAGCAGUUGCUUGAUUUGGGACAGAAGCUGAAAGACUCUCAAAGUGGUCAAAACACAAUAAAAGAAGAAGCAGAAAAACAAAUUAACGGUACGUUUACUCCUAAAUAUACAUAUAAAUACAUCUCCACCAUAAUCACCUGUUCUCUGUGCAUUACUAUACAUUACACUGUAAUAAUAUUUGUUAUAUGGCAGUAAGAAUGUAGAUGUUUGAGAUAAAUUAUAAUUCUGUAAAUUAAAUUUUAUAGAUCUUAAAAUUAAACUGAAGAAUAAGGAGGUCGAGCUGUCACAGCUGAAGAUCAGUAAUUCAGGUAAUAUCACUUCAUUAUAUAUCUACUCAAAUAUCUAUUUACUCCUUCAUCCAUGUCCAAAUAACCAUCCAUCCAUCCAACCAUCCAUCCAUUCACCCAA
This 757-nucleotide long non-coding RNA is filed under the name Astyanax mexicanus (Mexican tetra). RNAcentral's name for it is "lncRNA (ENSAMXG00005011279.1)". The record is from RNAcentral. Lineage: Eukaryota; Metazoa; Chordata; Actinopteri; Characiformes; Acestrorhamphidae.